Molecule: ribosomal RNA, 819 nt
Filed under: uncultured eukaryote
Lineage: Eukaryota
Description: SSU rRNA
Rfam family: Eukaryotic small subunit ribosomal RNA
Source: RNAcentral
CGGUGUUUAACUGGCGUGAUGUGGGACGUCCUACCGGUGGGCUUAGCCUCGCGAGGGGCGGCCCAACUAAUAUCCCGUCGCGGUGCUCUUUACUGAGUGUCGAGUCGGGCCGGUGCGUUUACUUUGAACAAAUUAGAGUGCUUAAAGCAGGCUAUCCUCGCCUGAAUACUGCGUGCAUGGAAUAAUGGAAUAGGACCUCGGUUCUAUUUUGUUGGUUUUCGGAACCCCGAGGUAAUGAUUAAUAGGGACAGAUGGGGGCAUUCGUAUUGCGACGUUAGAGGUGAAAUUCUUGGAUCGUCGCAAGACGGACAGAAGCGAAAGCAUUUGCCAAAAAUGUUUUCAUUAAUCAAGAACGAAAGUUAGAGGUUCGAAGGCGAUCAGAUACCGCCCUAGUUCUAACCAUAAACGAUGCCAGCUAGCGAUCCGCCGAAGUUCCUCCGAUGACUCGGCGGGCAGCUUCCGGGAAACCAAAGCUUUUGGGUUCCGGGGGAAGUAUGGUUGCAAAGCUGAAACUUAAAGGAAUUGACGGAAGGGCACCACCAGGAGUGGAGCCUGCGGCUUAAUUUGACUCAACACGGGAAACCUCACCAGGCCCAGACACCGGAAGGAUUGACAGAUUGAUAGCUCUUUCUUGAUUCGGUGGGUGGUGGUGCAUGGCCGUUCUUAGUCGGUGGAGCGAUUUGUCUGGUUAAUUCCGAUAACGAACGAGACUCUAGCCUGCUAAAUAGGCGUACCUUAUGGUAUCGCGAAGGCCCCCGGCUUCGGCCGGUGGGUUUUUACUACCAACGUACAAACAAAUCUUCUUAGAGGGACAGGCGG